UUGAAACAAGUCGACUCCUCAAUAUCAGAACACGGGCAGCGGGCAGACUGACCGAAGUACCCCCGAGCACUUGAGUGAGAGAAUAUAAAUCCUUGAUCUCUUUCAAAGGGUUAAAGCUCUCUCCCUCCCUCGGCCCCCUCUUCCAGUCUCUCUAGGGUUUUGAUUUGGGCUUUUACGCCCUCUUAACACCGAGCCGGCUAGUAUUUUCUUUCUAGUACCUGGUUUCUCAACAUAGAGUCCUUGGUGUUUCAUAUAUAGAGUACAAGGUAAGUGUUUUCUUUCCAUUAACGAUAGUUUGAAUAAGUAUAUAUAGAUCAUUUUCUAAUACUAAUAGUUUAAAACAGUACCUGCUUUGGGUUUGUUUCUUCAUUAAAACUAGGUUUUGCUAAAUGAUCUCUAGAUGGUAUCUGGUUGAAGAAAAUCUCCAUUUGGGUUUUGAAAGAUUGAGCAAGGCAGUGAUCUCCAUAUCUAGUGGGGUUUUUAUGUUUAGAAGUAGCUAGCACAGUUGUAGUGAUCUUGAAAAAGCUGUUUGAAAAGAGUUGACGGGAAAAAGGUUUUUUAGUUUGUUCUUGCCAGUUUUAAGUACUACCUGUUUCUUCUGUACUUCAACUCUAUAUCCCUACCAGUUAAUUUGCCACACACAUCUAGAUACCAAAGUUCUUAUACUCCUUGCUCUCGAAUAUGGCUCCAAAUGGUAGAAAAAGAACAAGAGCAAAAACAACAAGAAGAACCCAGUACAAGAAGCGGGUUAUGAAGCCCAAGAGCAUUAAAGAAGCUUCAAUAAUUGAGGAUUUGCCUUCUAACUCUUCCACCACCACCACAAGCUGCAAUGGUUGUUCAAAGAUUGAUGGCUUAGAUUUUGAGGGUGUUGAUAUCUCUGCAAGUGCAUGCUCUACUCCAAAAGCUGAGAGGUUUCGGAUACCAGAGAUUCAAACAUGUCCACCUGCACCAAGGAAGGAAAGGAUAAUAUCAAAUUGCUCUUUGCAAAGGAGACCGAUUGCUUUUUUUGCUCCUCCGGAUUUGGAGCUCUUCUUCUUCUAUGCAAUUCACGAUGUAUCGGUUUAAAUGUUUGUUCAUAGGAUAUGAUCAAGAUCAUUCAGUAGUCUUAAGAGGGUACACUAAUAUACUAAAUUUAGCUGGGGCUGUCCAGCUAAAUUUAGCCUUACGCAUGCUGUUCCCUGAGCUUUUAUAUCUUUUUUAGGUGUAUUGCUGACUUUUGGAGUUUGGAGAGUGCAAAUCAAUGGCUUGAAUUAAGGUUCCUGAGUGUGAAAUUAUCAGUUUUUGUUUGUUUGGUCAACCUGGGAAUGUAAAGGCACGAGUGACUUCUGCUUUUAUGUUCAAAUGAAGUCCCUCCCUGAUCCACUCUU
Long non-coding RNA from Populus trichocarpa (black cottonwood), 1367 nucleotides. RefSeq lists it as uncharacterized. The record is from RefSeq and is a predicted model, not a curated record. The transcript is spliced from 2 exons. Lineage: Eukaryota; Viridiplantae; Streptophyta; Magnoliopsida; Malpighiales; Salicaceae.